This 431-nucleotide ribosomal RNA is filed under the name uncultured bacterium. RNAcentral describes it as "bacterial SSU rRNA". It matches the Rfam family "Bacterial small subunit ribosomal RNA", at positions 28 to 476 of the family's 1533-position model. The record is from RNAcentral.
GACGAACGCUGGCGGCGUGCUUAACACAUGCAAGUCGAGCGGUAAGGCCUUUCGGGGUACACGAGCGGCGAACGGGUGAGUAACACGUGGGUGAUCUGCCCUGCACUCUGGGAUAAGCUUGGGAAACUGGGUCUAAUACCGGAUAUGACCGCAUGCCGCAUGGUGUGUGGUGGAAAGAUUUAUCGGUGCAGGAUGGGCCCGCGGCCUAUCAGCUUGUUGGUGGGGUAAUGGCCUACCAAGGCGACGACGGGUAGCCGACCUGAGAGGGUGACCGGCCACACUGGGACUGAGACACGGCCCAGACUCCUACGGGAGGCAGCAGUGGGGAAUAUUGCACAAUGGGCGGAAGCCUGAUGCAGCGACGCCGCGUGAGGGAUGAAGGCCUUCGGGUUGUAAACCUCUUUCAGCAGGGACGAAGCGUGAGUGACGGU